This 254-nucleotide ribosomal RNA is filed under the name uncultured bacterium. RNAcentral's name for it is "partial 16S ribosomal RNA". It matches the Rfam family "Bacterial small subunit ribosomal RNA", at positions 524 to 776 of the family's 1533-position model. The record is from RNAcentral.
UACGGGGGGAGCAAGCGUUGUUCGGAUUUACUGGGCGUAAAGGGCGCGUAGGCGGUCAGCACAAGUCAGACGUGAAAUCCCCCGGCUUAACCUGGGAACUGCGUCUGAUACUGGAGGGCUUGAGUAUGGGAGAGGGAUGUAGAAUUCCAGGUGUAGCGGUGAAAUGCGUAGAUAUCUGGAGGAAUACCGGUGGCGAAGGCGGCAUCCUGGACCAUAACUGACGCUGAGGCGCGAAAGCUAGGGGAGCAAACGGG